UACGAAGGGUGCAAGCGUUACUCGGGAUUACUGGGCGUAAAGGGUGCGUAGGUGGUCGUUUAAGUCCGUUGUGAAAUCCCUGGGCUCAACCUGGGAAUGGCAGUGGAUACUGGACGGCUAGAAUGCGGUAGAGGGUAGUGGAAUUCCCGGUGUAGCAGUGAAAUGCGUAGAGAUCGGGAGGAACACCAGUGGCGAAGGCGGCUACCUGGACCAGCACUGACACUGAAGCACGAAAGCGUGGGGAGCAAACAGG
This 253-nucleotide ribosomal RNA is filed under the name uncultured bacterium. Its description in RNAcentral is "partial 16S ribosomal RNA". It matches the Rfam family "Bacterial small subunit ribosomal RNA", at positions 524 to 776 of the family's 1533-position model. The record is from RNAcentral.